Amphiprion ocellaris (clown anemonefish) is the source of this 1036-nucleotide long non-coding RNA. NCBI's taxonomy places the organism in Eukaryota, Metazoa, Chordata, Actinopteri, Pomacentridae. The record is from Ensembl.
UGAGUCUUCGACACGCCGGCCAACACAUGCAGUGAGCGUCCUGUGGAUACGACAGCUGCCGUGUUCACAUCAGUGUCCUGCCUAUUAUCAGGAAUGUAUGCACAGUUUAAACAGUACACAGCAAUCACUGCAGAGAGCGAGUUUUUGUUCUGGUUAUAACGGGAGACAUCUACAAUUCUGUCUUUAAACAUAUUGGCUUCAAGACAAUAGAAGCAUCAGUCUGGGCCGACAGAUCAAUCAAAUCUGUAGCUGUGAACAGACCUACUUUCCUCACCUGCUCACUGCCUCCAUGUGGCCUGAAUUUCAAACUCAUUCCUGCGUUUCCUCUGCCCCGGGGUCAUUGCACAAAACUGGAGCUGGAAAGUUCUCAAAAUAGAGAUCAGGAGGAAACUACGAUGGAAACAAAACAACUUGCAGAGAGACACGAGGAGGGCUGAGAGAGGAUUCGAUCCUCGACCAGCGGGGGUCCAUGGGAAUCUAAAGGUGGGGAAUCAACCACCGUGGCAUUGAUGGGAAACAGCCUGCAUUAUUUAAAACAGCAUAUAAAGGCAAAGUUGUGUUUCAAUAGAUUGCUGCCAUCCUCAAUUGUGCCUGAGGGUGUGUGUGCGCCUUUUUCCUGUGCUGCAAAACCUCACAUUUUCCAAAAUGUCAGAAUGAUCGGUGAAAUAAGCCAGCACAGCCUCAUUUUCAUUUUGACAGCUGUGUAGUUUUUUGGGGUUUUUUUUAUUCUGUAAAUUAUGCAAUGGCUUUCAUGAAUCCUCGAGUUUUACAAGGUCACACAAUCCUCCGGUUCAGGUAAAAAAAAACAACAUGGAAAUCAUCAACAUCGCCAUAAUGGAUUUUUUCAUCUGACAGCUGCAAUAAUGUAGCAUGCUUGUGUACAGUAGAUUUAACAUAUGAGUGUUGUGCUACUUUAUCUACACCCCCACAGGCUACACUUUGAUUUUCCUGUAAUAAAUAAUGCUCUUUUGUGUUCUGUGCUUCAUUUGUUCCCUGUUGUAACCUCAGAGCUGCUCAAUAAAUUAUGAAUUACGCC